UUCUACAGCCAUACCACCCUGAAUGUGCCCAACCAAUCUCAUCUGAUCUCAGGAGCAAAGCAGGGCUGGGCUGGGUUAGUACUUAGAUGGGAGAUUUAGUAAGUAGAAU
Molecule: ribosomal RNA, 109 nt
Filed under: Otolemur garnettii (small-eared galago)
Lineage: Eukaryota; Metazoa; Chordata; Mammalia; Primates; Galagidae
Source: RNAcentral